AGAGUUUGAUCAUGACUCAGAAUCAACGCUGGCGGCGUGCCUAACACAUGCAAGUCGAACGAGAAAGUGGAGCAAUCGAUGAGUAAAGUGGCGCACGGGUGAGUAACACGUGACUAACCUACCCUCGAGUGGGGAAUAACUCCGGGAAACCGAGACUAAUACCGCAUAACAUCUACGGAUCAAAUGCGUAAGCAGCUUGAGGAGGGGGUCGCGACUGAUUAGCUAGUUGGCGGGGUAAUGGCCCACCAAGGCAAUGAUCAGUAGCCGGCCUGAGAGGGCGCACGGCCACACUGGAACUGAAACACGGUCCAGACUCCUACGGGAGGCAGCAGUGGGGAAUUUUGCGCAAUGGGGGAAACCCUGACGCAGCAACGCCGCGUGGAGGAUGAAGCCCCUUGGGGUGUAAACUCCUUUCGAUCGGGACGAUUAUGACGGUACCGGAUGAAGAAGCACCGACUAACUCUGUGCCAGCAGCCGCGGUAAUACAGAGGGUGCAAGCGUUGUUCGGAAUUAUUGGGCGUAAAGGGUGCGUAGGCGGUGCGGUAAGUCUUUUGUGAAAUCUCCGGACUUAACUCGGAGUCUGCAAGGGAAACUGCCGUGCUGGAGUAUGGGAGAGGUGAGUGGAAUUCCCGGUGUAGCGGUGAAAUGCGUAGAUAACGGGAGGAACACCUGUGGCGAAAGCGACUCACUGGACCAUUACUGACGCUGAUGCACGAAAGCUAGGGGAGCAAACAGGAUUAGAUACCCUGGUAGUCCUAGCCCUAAACGAUGAUCGCUUGGUGUGACAGGUACCCAAUCGUGUCGUGCCGGAGCUAACGCGUUAAGCGAUCGGCCUGGGGAGUACGGUCGCAAGACUGAACUCAAAGGAAUUGACGGGGGCCCGCACAAGCGGUGGAGCAUGUGGUUCAUUUCGACGCAACGCGAAGAACCUUACCUGGACUCGAGCGUA
RNAcentral lists this ribosomal RNA (949 nucleotides) under uncultured bacterium. RNAcentral's name for it is "bacterial SSU rRNA". It matches the Rfam family "Bacterial small subunit ribosomal RNA", at positions 8 to 989 of the family's 1533-position model. The record is from RNAcentral.